AGAGUUGAUCCUGGCUCAGGAUGAACGCUAGCGACAGGCCUAACACAUGCAAGUCGAGGGCAGCACAAGGAGCAAUCUGAGGUGGCGACCGGCGCACGGGUGAGUAACGCGUAUGCAACCUACCUAUCAGAGGGGAAUAACCCGGCGAAAGUCGGACUAAUACCGCAUAAAACAGGGGCACCGCAUGGUGAUAUUUGUUAAAGAGAUUCGCUGAUAGAUGGGCAUGCGUUCCAUUAGGUAGUUGGUGAGGUAACGGCUCACCAAGCCGACGAUGGAUAGGGGAACUGAGAGGUUGGUCCCCCACACUGGUACUGAGACACGGACCAGACUCCUACGGGGGGCAGCAGUGAGGAAUAUUGGUCAAUGGGCGGGAGCCUGAACCAGCCAAGUCGCGUUGAAGGAAGAAGGAUCUAUGGUUCGUAAACUUCUUUUGCAGGGGAAUAAAGUGCAGGACGUGUCCUGUUUUGUAUGUACCCUGAGAAUAAGGAUCGGCUAACUCCGUGCCAGCCGCUGC
Molecule: ribosomal RNA, 514 nt
Filed under: uncultured bacterium
Lineage: Bacteria
Description: bacterial SSU rRNA
Rfam family: Bacterial small subunit ribosomal RNA
Source: RNAcentral